GAGUUUGAUCUUGGCUCAGAUUGAACGCUGGCGGCAUGCCUUACACAUGCAAGUCGAACGGCAGCACGGGAGCUUGCUCCUGGUGGCGAGUGGCGAACGGGUGAGUAAUGCAUCGGAACGUAUCCUGGAGUGGGGGAUAACGUAGCGAAAGUUACGCUAAUACCGCAUAUUCUGUGAGCAGGAAAGCGGGGGACCUUCGGGCCUCGCGCUCUUGGAGCGGCCGAUGUCGGAUUAGCUAGUUGGUGAGGUAAAGGCUCACCCAAGGCGACGACUCCGUAGCGAGGUCUGAGAGGAUGAUCUGCCACAC
This 307-nucleotide ribosomal RNA is filed under the name bacterium enrichment culture clone ALO1_GLFRUDD03GPJYD. RNAcentral describes it as "bacterial SSU rRNA". It matches the Rfam family "Bacterial small subunit ribosomal RNA", at positions 9 to 313 of the family's 1533-position model. The record is from RNAcentral.